RNAcentral lists this unclassified non-coding RNA (1739 nucleotides) under Hevea brasiliensis (rubber tree). The record is from RNAcentral. Lineage: Eukaryota; Viridiplantae; Streptophyta; Magnoliopsida; Malpighiales; Euphorbiaceae.
UUUUACCCUUGUUCCAAAAAGUUGAGUCUCAAAGUGAUACCUUAACAACUUCACAAAUUCUCAAAGAUGGUGAAACAAUAAUUUCAUCAGAUGGAACCUUUGAAUUGGGUUUUUUCUCUGCAGGCAAAAAUAGUUCAUCAAGAAAUCGUUAUAUUGGCAUUUGGUACAAAAAGAUUUCAGCUUUAACACCAAUUUGGGUUGCAAAUAGACAAAUUCCAGUGAAGGGUAUUUCUGGAAUCUUGAAAAUUGUUGAACCAGGUUAUCUUGUUUUGAUUAAUAAUGUUACUAAUGACACUAUUUGGAGUACUAAUUUUUCAUCAAUUAGUGUGAAAAAUCCAGUUGCUAAGUUGUUGGAUACAGGGAAUUUUGUGAUUAAAGAUGCAAAUGAUGAUUUGUUGUUGUGGCAGAGUUUUGAUUAUCCUAGUGAUACUUUGUUAGCAAGUAUGAAACUUGGAAGAGAUUUAGUGACUGGGUUGGAAAGGUAUCUUCGGUCAUGGAAAAGUGACGAUGAUCCUGCUCCCGGGGAUUAUACAUAUCAUUGUGAUCCUACAGGUUAUCCACAGGACCUUAUGAGAAGAGGUCCUAAUGUAGUUUAUAGAGCCGGGCCAUGGAAUGGUCUUAGAUGGAGUGGAGCACCAAACAUGGUGAACAACUCGGUCACCUCUUUUGGGCUAGUCAUGAACGAUCAAGAAAUUUACUACAAAUACGAACUAGUAAAUAAAUCCUUGCUUACUACUUUAGUGCUAACGCCUAAUGGUAAUGCGAUGCGUAUGAUUUGGAUAGAAAAGAGAGAGGGUUGGGUUAAUUACCAUUCCGCGGAUGCAGAUCACUGUGACACUUACAAAUUAUGUGGUGCAUAUGGCACUUGCACAAUGUUUAGCGAUCCUGUGUGUCGUUGUUUGGAUAAAUUCGUUCCUAAACAUCCGGAUGAUUGGAACAGGGCUGACUGGUCAAGUGGUUGUGUUCGAAAUCAUCCAUUGAAUUGUUCAGAAGAUGGAUUUAUAAAGUAUACUGGUGUCAAAUUGCCAGAUACUCGGUACUCUUGGUUUAACGAGACUAUGACACUCGACGAAUGCAAGUUAGUUUGCUUGAGAAAUUGUUCGUGUAUGGGAUAUACUAGUCUGGACAUCAGAAACGGAGGAAGUGGAUGCUUGCUAUGGAUUGGGGAGCUCGUUGACCUCAGGCAGCUAUCGGAAUCAGGACAGGAUAUCUAUAUUAGGAUGGCUGCUUCCGAGAUAAGUCCUAUCGAUGGAUCAAGUCGAAAGAAAAGUAUUAUACUUGCAAUUGCUUUGCCAUUAUCGAUUGCAGCGAUUCUGUUAAUGGUUGGAGUCUGCCUGAUUCUUCGUAGACAGAAAAAGAGGGCGGAAACAAUGCUCAUAGAAAAAAGGAAAUUGGACGACAGCAAUAACAAAGAUAAAAACAAUCAAAUUCGCCGUGAAGCUUUGGAGCUACCACUCGUUGAUUUGUCCACAAUAAUGAAGGCUACCAAUAACUUUUCACUUGAGAACAAGAUUGGAGCAGGCGGCUUUGGGAAAGUUUUCAAGGGAGUGCUAGAAGAAGGACAGGAAGUAGCUGUCAAGCGGCUCUCUGAAACGUCCAGACAAGGAAACGAUGAGUUCAAGAAUGAAGUCAGCUGCAUCGCGGAACUUCAGCAUCGAAAUCUUGUGAAGCUUCUUGGAUGCUGCAUCGAAGAAGAAGAGAAGAUACUGGUGUACGAAUACAUGCCCAACAAAAGCCUG